This 253-nucleotide ribosomal RNA is filed under the name uncultured bacterium. RNAcentral's name for it is "partial 16S ribosomal RNA". It matches the Rfam family "Bacterial small subunit ribosomal RNA", at positions 524 to 776 of the family's 1533-position model. The record is from RNAcentral.
UACGAACCGUCCAAACGUUAUUCGGAUUCAUUGGGCUUAAAGGGUACGUAGGCGGCGCCAUCAGUCGGGUGUGAAAGCCCUCGGCUCAACCGAGGAACUGCGCCCGAUACUGUGGUGCUCGAGGGAGACAGAGGUAAGCGGAACUGAUGGUGGAGCGGUGAAAUGCGUUGAUAUCAUCAGGAACACCGGUGGCGAAAGCGGCUUACUGGGUCUCUUCUGACGCUGAGGUACGAAAGCUAGGGGAGCGAACGGG